CUGCGAAUGGCUCAUUAAAUCAGUUAUCGUUUAUUUGAUAGUACCUUACUACUUGGAUAACCGUGGUAAUUCUAGAGCUAAUACAUGCUAAAAACCCCAACUUCGGGAGGGGUGUAUUUAUUAGAUAAAAAACCAAUGCCCUUCGGGGCUCCUUGGUGAUUCAUAAUAACUUAACGGAUCGCAUGGCCUUGAGCCGGCGACGGUUCAUUCAAAUUUCUGCCCUAUCAACUUUCGAUGGUAAGGUAUUGGCUUACCAUGGUUUCAACGGGUAACGGGGAAUUAGGGUUCGAUUCCGGAGAGGGAGCCUGAGAAACGGCUACCACAUCCAAGGAAGGCAGCAGGCGCGCAAAUUACCCAAUCCCGACACGGGGAGGUAGUGACAAUAAAUACUGAUACAGGGCUCUUUUGGGUCUUGUAAUCGGAAUGAGUACAAUUUAAACCCCUUAACGAGGAACAAUUGGAGGGCAAGUCUGGUGCCAGCAGCCGCGGUAAUUCCAGCUCCAAUAGCGUAUAUUAAAGUUGUUGCAGUUAAAAAGCUCGUAGUUGAACCUUGGGCCUGGCUGGCCGGUCCGCCUCACCGCGUGUACUGGUCCGGCCGGGCCUUUCCUUCUGGAGAUCCUCAUGCCCUUCACUGGGUGUGUUGGGGAACCAGGACUUUUACUGUGAACAAAUUAGAGUGUUCAAAGCAGGCCUUUGCUCGAAUACAUUAGCAUGGAAUAAUAGAAUAGGACGUGCGGUCCUAUUUUGUUGGUUUCUAGGACCGCCGUAAUGAUUAAUAGGGAUAGUCGGGGGCAUCAGUAUUCAAUUGUCAGAGGUGAAAUUCUUGGAUUUAUUGAAGACUAACUACUGCGAAAGCAUUUGCCAAGGAUGUUUUCAUUAAUCAGUGAACGAAAGUUAGGGGAUCGAAGAGAUCAGAUACCGUCGUAGUCUUAACCGUAACUAUGCCGACUAGGGA
Molecule: ribosomal RNA, 955 nt
Filed under: Nigrograna kunmingensis
Lineage: Eukaryota; Fungi; Ascomycota; Dothideomycetes; Pleosporales; Nigrogranaceae
Description: SSU rRNA
Rfam family: Eukaryotic small subunit ribosomal RNA
Source: RNAcentral